This 250-nucleotide ribosomal RNA is filed under the name uncultured bacterium. RNAcentral describes it as "partial 16S ribosomal RNA". It matches the Rfam family "Bacterial small subunit ribosomal RNA", at positions 524 to 776 of the family's 1533-position model. The record is from RNAcentral.
UACAGAGGUCUCAAGCGUUGUUCGGAUUCAUUGGGCGUAAAGGGUGUGUAGGUGGCGCCGUAAGUCGGGUGUGAAAUUUCGGAGCUUAACUCCGAAACUGCAUUCGAUACUGCGGUGCUUGAGGACUGGAGAGGAGACUGGAAUUCAUGGUGUAGCAGUGAAUGCGUAGAGAUCAUGAGGAAGACCAGUGGCGAAGGCGGGUCUCUGGACAGUUCCUGACACUGAGACACGAAGGCCAGGGAGCAACGGG